RNAcentral lists this ribosomal RNA (253 nucleotides) under uncultured bacterium. RNAcentral's name for it is "partial 16S ribosomal RNA". It matches the Rfam family "Bacterial small subunit ribosomal RNA", at positions 524 to 776 of the family's 1533-position model. The record is from RNAcentral.
UACGUAGGGGGCUAGCGUUGUCCGGAUUUAUUGGGCGUAAAGAGCGUGUAGGCGGCCAGGUAGGUCUGCUGUGAAAACUCGAGGCUCAACCUCGAGACGUCGGCGGAAACCAUCUGGCUAGAGUCCGGAAGAGGAGAGUGGAAUUCCUGGUGUAGCGGUGAAAUGCGCAGAUAUCAGGAGGAACACCAAUGGCGAAGGCAGCUCGCUGGGACGUGACUGACGCUGAGACGCGAAAGCGUGGGGAGCAAACGGG